AAAUGAAUAAAUCACUAGCACAAAUAUAGCAGGAAUUUAAUCAGGAAUAAAUAAAUUCUAGCCAAGGAUGCAACUACUCAGGCACAGUCCAUUUAUCCGAUCAUUGAUGCAGGAGAGGUUCACUUAAUUUAUUAAUAGGCUAGUUAUAGUCUGAUGACCAAUUUUUCCUUAAAUUAUUGAUAACCAAGGUACGACCGUUGAUUACCCCUAAUCAGCAAAUACUCCUAGGUACGACCAUAGGAAUUAAUUUUCCAAUUGCAUUAAUAACUAGAAAAACCUAGCCCCAACCAAUAACACGCUACGAGGGUUAUUUAAAUUAGAUUGCACGUUCCCCUAAUGUGUAAACACACCAGUUGCCACUAAUAUUAAUCAAUCAAACAAUUACGGAUUUAAUUGACUAAAUUGGCACGAGAUUAAUAAAUCACAUUGAACAUCGGGCCCUUGACAUCCAAUUAAUAAAAUAAUCCCAUGAAAAUUAAAUCAGACAACAUGCAAAUAUUAAUAGAUAAAGGAACACGUGAAAACUAAUUAGAUCUCACAGAUUUUCGGGACUGCGCCGUCGAGUUGACCCUUGACUAGAUGGAAGACUUAGCCACGCCGCAUAAUUAAAUCAUCACACGAAUUAAUAGAUUGCAAAGGCAUUGCGUUUUCUAUUAAGAAGCAAGGAAUAAAAGGUGUUUUUCCCGUUGGGGAAUAUUGUCGAACACCUGGCGUGCGUCAGAGACCAGUCAGGAGAAAGCAGAACUAAAAACUGAACUAAAAGACUAAAACUAAAGAUAUCUCUACUACUCUACGUUAUCCCUAUUUAAGCAACAAAAGAAAGAUGACUAAAGCCUAUCUAGGUGGUCCCCACACAUGUGGACAAAGCCUUCAAAGUAUUACUUGCCCAAGUCUCUUUCCGUAGCUUCCUUUGAAGAGCUCAAAUGACAUAUAGUUUGUGGUCCCCCACCAAUUCAAGGGCCCAAGAAUUGAAGCCCCUAGAAGUCUCCAUAUUCUCCAUAAAAUCCCUCCUUUUUGGUAGUUUUCUGUUUCACUCCUGAAAUUAAGUCCAUAUACCAAAAAUGAGUAGAUCUCAGCAAUUAACACAAUAUUUAUCAGGGAUAAAAGGGAAAAUUAAUAAUAAAAUUACUAACAAAUUAUACCCUAUCAAUUCCCCCCACACCUAAAUCAUGUUUGUCCUCAAGCAUGGGGACAAUUCAACUCAACACAGGCUAGCUUUCACACUUUCAUUACCAGCUGUGCUUAUACUCAAAAUCAAGAUUUAGCGGCUAAGUGUCAAGUCAUAUCUUACUCGGUUAGCUUCUAAGUUCAUAGACCUGUCCAAUUCAUGGCUAAUUCGCUUAGGAAAUCCAAAUAUUAACUAGCAACAGGCAGUAAUUAAGUCAACUGGCAACCAAAAUCUCAACAGUGCGAACCAAGGAUCGGCAGGCCAACAUGAUCAUAAACUCACAUUUUCCAUAUCUGAUUUUUUCUUUUUUUUUUUCGUUUCUCUUUUUUUUUUUAGAUUGCAAGAAUAAUGCUUAGUCCCGAGCUAUUCAAGUCUUUUGACGUGAACACUGACAUUUUUAGAUGAAAGAGCCCAGUUACUCAACUUUUCACAGCUCCAGGACCACUUACUCAUAGAUAUCGCCACUUUUUGACGCGAGAGCCGACAUUUGUGGUGAAGACUCCCGGUUACUAGGUGGCGACACUAGCGGAGCACAGCCAUAUGUUAUUCACCAUAAAACACCAAAAUACCAAGUAAUUACAGAUCAUAGCCUGCGUCAUGUCCUAAAUAUGGAGACUAAGGUAAACAGGAGACCAAACUACACAACAGUGCCAGCAAAAUAUUUAUAUUGCCUAAACAAGUUAGCCAUAAAUUGCACCACGUCGUUAAACUCAAAGUAUUCACCAAGAAAGCAUGCUUUUACUUGCCACUGUAACUUAACUCAUAGUACAAACCACAACUAACAAGAAAAAGUGAGCUGCCAAAAAUAUUCACCAAGAUAGAAGCAAGGAAAAGGCACUCAAAAGGGAAUAAAGGGACAACACCUACACAGAAAACACUUACUAAAAGUAUAGCAAGAACACCCCAAAAACGAAAAAUGGGAAAUAUCUAGCACUCAAACAAAGACCCCCCCACACCUAAAUGACACAUUGCCCUCAAUGUGAUAAUAUAAUAGUAGAGAAAAAGGAGGGGCAACGGUACUUCCCUGGAGUCGUCAAGACAAGGGAGGGUUAGGCGGAAACUGCGGAGGGAACCCGGCCUGCUGCAUAAACGCCGCUAGAUUCUGCGCCAUAUUGUGAAUGUUAACGUCCAUGUGUCACUGCCUAAUCUCAAGCCGCUCGACUGUGCUGCGGAGAUGGUUCCAUUCCUCAUCCGUAUGGGCGGAAGGGGGGGGAGCGGAGGAAGAAGGACCGGGAGCGCCGCCCUCAUGGGGAGCUCGGGCAAAAGUUGACCGAGGGGGAGGGCGGAGCGGCCCCGGGGGAACAACCUCCCAACCAUUGUCGCCCUCCCGAACUAAGCCCAUUUUCUCUAAGCACGGGAUAUCCAAUGGCUCCAUUUGACAGGCUACAUGCAAGUUAUGGUUAGAAAUAUCAAGGACAUGCAAAUUAAUAGCCAAGUGGGUAAUGUAAGACCCCAAAAUCAAGGGGCGCUUCUUUUUAGGCAAAAUGGAUUUGAACUGAGAAGCGAGCCAACACCCAAGGUUAACCUUAAUAUUGUUUUGCAUGCACCAUAUAAAGAAAAAUUCCGGCUUAGACAAAACGCCCGAACUAUCUCGCCUACCCGAGAAACUGUAAGCCAAAAAACGGUGGAUAUAACGAGAGGCCGGGUCCUUCAGAUAAGAACCCUUAGAUAGACGAGGGUCAUAGUUAUCCUUGUCUACGGACAUCUCAUCCCAAAGAAAGCGAUAGCGGGAGAAAAACGGCUGAACAUAGUCACAUGCACUCUCGGCGUACUCCCUAGACUCAGCAUAAGAAGGCUCAAUGAAACCAAAGGCCAGAUUGAAGUCGGUUAUGGAAUGGUGGAAUUCCUGGCCCAUUAAACGGAAGCGGAUGGCAUCAGGGGUAGAAACUGUGUAAUUAGUGGGAAGGUCAAACUCAAACGUGGCAUAAAACUCCCUAACUAACUCGACAAAAGCCGGGAGGUCAGUGAUACGAGAAUAGGGGUGCCACCCGAUGGCUUCAAUCAAAUCGUGAAAGGGGACGCUAAUGUUUAGAAGGCCCAAGGUAGCGGGGUCCCGAUAACGACAAGAAAUAAUCCGUCGUUCACAAGCCGCUUCAUAGCGCCGCUUGUCGGCUGCCCGGGUGAAGUCCAAAUGACCCCCAAAAUGUGCAGGGUCAGAGAUAUGGACGCCUCUUUAUCGCCCAAGACGAGCCCGCCUCCCAGAGGAGGAAGGGUCGUGCGAAGGGUCAGAGGCGGGAAUGGAAUGCUGGGGUGGAGGGGGCUGAGGAGUCCUAGGGGUCCUAGUCUUAGAAGAAGAUCGAGGUUUUACCAUGGUGACCAACAGGCAAACCAAAACAACCAAGUAGCAAAUAUAAGCGUCACGGGCGCCCCCAAUAAACAAGUAUAAGCGUCACAGGCGCCCCCAAAUUUAACCAGCAAUGGCAGCAAAGCACCCAAAAUUGACACCAAAGAUAUGAAUCAGACACAGUUGGACCCAAAACCGGAACCUCUGUCUCUAACUGGACAGUCAAUUACCCAAGACAAUUUACCAAAUUAGCAAUUGAGCCAAGCAAUGGGCAAUAUCAGCAACCACAUGUCAAAAUGUGACCACCACUGAAGUACAAGGUUAUUAGCUCGCAAACAGUCAGGCGCCCAUAUAAAAGCAAUGAAAAUAAUCAAAACACUCCCACCAGUACCACUGGUGCAUAGACAGGAAAGAAUUAAAAUCAACGGUAGCAAUUCAAUCCACCAUAACUGAGACUCGAAAAUAAGCAAGUAUCUCAAAAACAGCAGCAAUGAUAGGCAAAAGAGAUCAACCAGUACCACUGGUGAGUCACAGGGAAAAAGUAAACAAAUAGUAAACAAAAGGGCUAGCUGUUCAACAAAUAGUAGAAAAUACCCCCACUUUGGCAGCAAUUAAACUCAAACUUGUCCAAACAGUUCCCCCAGGAAAUAACUAAAUCACCCCCUGCUCUAUCUAACCACUCAAUCACAGAGUGGACCCAAUCACAAAUGCCCAGUAGUUACAAUUCAUUGAAUUAGGCAAUCCAAAACACAGAUUAUCAGAUGUUAAACAACUACCCUCACCAGUACCACUGGUGAGUAUAGAGGGAGAAAUUAGAUCAAAUAACCAACCUAGUGAGCAAAACAGAUUUGAACACCCAAGUAGCGCCAAAAAUGAGCGAAAAUUAAAUCCAGAAGCAAUUGGCUGCAGUCUAACUCAACUAUAAUUAUCAGCAAAUUUCCCACAGAUGGCAGCAAUUACCCCCAAAUUAGUCCCAAAAUUUACCCUAGAAAAUGCCACUACAACCCUGCUGUAUCCAACAAGAAAUCCAACCACAGAUUUCAGAGAUUUCAACUAACUAGGGGAAGAGAAGAUAAUACCUCCACCUGUCAAAACUGACAGGUGGUGAUGCGCGGCUGUCUGUGAGUGAGCUAGUGGUGGAGCUUGCUGGAACUUGGAGCUAUUGCUGAGGGAGUUGCGGCGUCGCACGGCUGCAGCGCACGAGGAGCUGCGGGCGGCGGCUGCCCUUGGGCGAGCCAAUGACGCGCGGCCAAGGGAAAAGGGAGAAGGCCGCGCGCUGUGGGGGAAGGGAUUCGCGCGCUGUGGAGCGCAAGUGGGAAGGAGCCGCGGCCCGCUGGUGGUGGCUAGUGGGCUUCGUCGACCGCGUGCGCCGUGGAGCUCCUCGGUGGUAGAGCUGGAAUAGGUGGCGGCGGCUGGAGCAGGUUGUGGGCGAAGCUGGAGCAGAUCAGCGACGAGGGAGAAGGAGCCGCGGCGGUGGGAAGUGCGGCGCGCGGCUGUGGAGUAGAGCGGCAGGCGGUGGCGCAGCGGCGAGCGGCGUGCGGCAGCGGCAGCGGCGUGGGCUAGCGGCAGCGGCAGCGGCGUGCAGCGCGGAAGGAAAAGAAGGAAAAGCAGGGCAGCGGGGAAAAAGGGAAGAAAGAAAGAAAGAAGAAAAGAAAGAAAGAAGAAAAAGAAAAGAGAAGAGGAAAAAUUUUUUUUUUUAAAUAUUACGCUAAUGUAAUCGUUUCAGCUGGAAGUUGCUGAAAAAUAAAUUUUUUUUUUAUUUUUAUUUUUUAUUAUUAUUUUUUUUAAAUUUUUUGUAGAAAGAAAAUAAUCUUUUUUUUUUCUGUUAAAGAUAGGAAUAAUAAGAAUAAUAAUAAUAAUACUCAUAAGAAUAGGAAGAGUAAUAAUAACAAUAAUAAUAAUAAAAGUUGGUUUUUUUUUUUUUUUUUUUUUUUAUUUUCAGGUCAUCAAACAUCGCGUGGGCAUGCCAAGAUUAUAAAACAUCCACUGACCUCAGGAGAGAUAAACACUGCGUGGGCACGCCAAGAUUACGAAACGUCCCUAACCUCAGGAGACACCAACGCCGCGUGGGCACGCUAAGAUUGGUUUUCGUCCCCUGAUCUCAGGAGACACCAACACCGCGUGGGCACGCCAAGAUCUCACUUCCUGAUUUCAGUGAAGGAAAUAUUAAUACAGAUACUACCCAACGAGUAAAUGACCCACUGCAAAAGAAGAACAACUAGAAAUCACAAAACAACUAGAAAUAACAAAACUAAUAUUCGGGUUGCCUUCCAAACUAGCGCCUUUCUUUAGUGUCUUUGGCUAGACACAACCCAUAAUUUGCUUAAACCAAGCAAAUUGGGUCCUCCAAAUGCAUCAUCUCUACCCGCUCAACUGGAACCUCAUCAUAAUAUGGCUUGAGGCGAUGACCAUUCACCACAAAUUUCUUCUCCGUCUUUAGACUCUGGAUUUCCACUACACCAUAAUCAAAGACAUUUAUUACAACAAAGGGACCUAUCCAACGAGAACGUAGCUUACCUGGAAAUAACUUCAAUUUGGAGUGAUACAGUAGAACUUUUUGUCCACAUUCAAACGUCUUCCUAGAGAUCUGUUGGUUAUGAAAAAUCUUGGUUUUCUCCUUAUAAAUCACAGCAUUCUCGUAGGCUUCAUUGCGAAUCUCCUCCAAUUCUUGUAACUGUAGUUUCCUUUGAAUUCCGCCCUCUUCGAUAUCCAUGUUGCAUUGCUUGACCGCCCAAAAUGCUCUAUGCUCGAACUCGACAGGGAGGUGGCAUGGCUUCCCAAAUACCAAACGGUAAGGGGACAUGCCGAUUGGUGUCUUGUAUGCCGUUCUAUAUGCCCACAAGGCAUCUUCAAGUCUUAUACUCCAAUCCUUCCUAUCGGGUCGAACCAUCUUCUCCAAAAUUGACUUGGUAAGAAGUGAAGACUUUGUGCAAGACACCGUACCUCCUGAAAAGCGCAGCAAUCGUCUUGUUGCAGAAAUGGGUACCCCGAUCACUUACAAUUGCUCGAGGCAUUCCAAAGCGGACAAAAAUGUUAGAUUUGACAAAUUCUGCAACCACUUUGGAAUUAUUAGUACUAGUGGGCUUUGCUUCCACCCAUUUCGAAACAUAGUCUACAGCAAGCAAUAUAUAUAGAAAACCAUAAGACGAAGGAAAAGGCCCCAUAAAAUCAAUACCCCAAACGUCAAAAAUCUCAACAAACAUCAUUGGAGUUUGGGUCAUUUGAUCCCUACGAGAAAUAUUACCUACUCUUUGACACUUAUCACAUGACUUACAAAAUGAGUAGGCAUCCUUAAAGAGGGUUGGCCAAUAGAAUCCACUCUCUAGAACCUUACGAGCAGUCCUCUUUGGUCCAAAGUGACCCCCACAUGCAAAAGAGUGACAAUAAAUGUAUUAAAUGUUUGUAAUAAAUGUAUUAAAUAAGUGACCAAAGAGGACUGCUCGUAUUAAAUAAGGACUGCUCGUAAGAGUGACAAUAAGUGACCAAAGAGGACUGUAUUAAAUGUUUCCUCGCCUGUAAUAAAUGUAUUAAAUAAGUGACCCCCAUAUCCAAAGUGACUCCCACAGGCAACAAAUGUAUUAAACCAGGUUUUUAUUCAAAAGCUGCAUUCUCACUAAGACGAGGAAAAGUUAUGCAAAGAGGUUGUUGGGUCAAGUUUGGAGCAGCCAACUCCCUUAAUGUUUGUGUGUUUGCCAUGGCGACGUUCUCUUGGUACGAAUCACUUGAAGUGUCACCAAACGAAUCUGCUGGUUCAACUUCGGGCUCAAGUCUCUGAGAUGUAGCACUGGAGUGCUCCUCUCUGAGCUGUCUGGUUUCUUUCCUUGUUCUACGCGCGGUCUUUUCUACUUCGGGGUCAAAAAUCAAUUCACCUGUACGAGAAGACCUAGGCAUACACUAGAAAAAUACCAGAAAAUUAGAGUAAAAAUGAACUUAUUUAAAGAAACAAAUAAUAACGCCAGUCCCCGGCAACGGCGCCAAAAAUUGACAGGUCGUCAGCCUGUGCAAUAAUAAUAAUAAUAAUAUAGAACCUAGCUACCACUAAGAGCAGUCAAUAAUUAAUCCUAGGUACUGGAGCAGGGACUCUAGGUGUGCAAUGGGUUACUUGAUUCACCCUGUUCCCGAAGAGUUUGCUUAAUCCGAUAUACCAGAAUUAAUUAAUUGACAAAAAUUACUAAAUAGUAGACAGUGACAAGUAGGGUCGUCUUCUCAGGGACUGGAGAUAUUUGUUUCUUUUUAAAGUCCAAUUGAUAAGGGGGGAUUUUACCGGAAUGAAACUAAAAAUAAUCAGACAAUUUAAUUAAAAAUGAAUAAAUCACUAGCACAAAUAUAGCAGGAAUUUAAUCAGGAAUAAAUAAAUUCUAGCCAAGGAUGCAACUACUCAGGCACAGUCCAUUUAUCCGAUCAUUGAUGCAGGAGAGGUUCACUUAAUUUAUUAAUAGGCUAGUUAUAGUCUGAUGACCAAUUUUUCCUUAAAUUAUUGAUAACCAAGGUACGACCGUUGAUUACCCCUAAUCAGCAAAUACUCCUAGGUACGACCAUAGGAAUUAAUUUUCCAAUUGCAUUA
RNAcentral lists this long non-coding RNA (8016 nucleotides) under Coffea arabica (coffee). RNAcentral's name for it is "long non-coding RNA (CARA_LNC005872)". The record is from RNAcentral. Lineage: Eukaryota; Viridiplantae; Streptophyta; Magnoliopsida; Gentianales; Rubiaceae.